Molecule: unclassified non-coding RNA, 2869 nt
Filed under: Hevea brasiliensis (rubber tree)
Lineage: Eukaryota; Viridiplantae; Streptophyta; Magnoliopsida; Malpighiales; Euphorbiaceae
Source: RNAcentral
AGGGCAAGCUUCGUAUUGAUAGAGAACAUCUUUGGGGGGGGACUUCUCUGCGGUGGGUGCAGAAAGGGCAAACUUUGCAUUGAUAGAGGAAUUCGUACUUGUACCUGUGCCCAUCAUUGCAGCUUGAACCACCCUGUUCUCAGCCGUUGCGCCGACGGUUAUGGCGGCGGUGACGCCUCGGGUCAGGGUAGCGAGUCCGUUGAUUGUCCUCGUCGUUACCCAAUAAAUAUGUGUUUGGUUACAGGGAGAAUUGACAAGGCCUUCGAGGUAAAAGGCUAUAAUUUUCGAGCGCGGCACGGUCUAUUUCUUGGCUUAUGAUUAAAUUCUGGGAAAAAGUCAUCCAAUUCCUCAUGACUUGACUUCUGUAGAUCGUUAACAUAGUCAUUCAUCCAUUCUCGAACUUCUUUCUCCUCCCUUAACAGGUUUAAUAUCUGGCUUGCUUUUGGACGUAAUCUGGGCGACUGUUUGAUACAAAGGGUUGCUGCAAGAACCAUUCUGUGCAUUUGAACAGUGUCAAAUUCCCCAUCCAACAUCGGAUCCACUAAUUCUUCAACUUUCCCACUCUCUAGUAAUGGCAUUGCCCACAUCACCAAGCUUUCCUGUCCUUUUAUACCUUCUGAACUAAUUGGCUUCUUUCCUGUUAACAAUUCUAGGAGAACUAUUCCGAAAGAGUAUAUAUCAAUUUUGUCACUGACCCUUCCAUGCAUAAAAUAUUCUGGAGCUAUAUACCCAAAAGUUCCAACAAUGUCACUGCUUGUCAUGUAGGCUGUAUCUUCAGGUCCCCAUGUCGCAAGCCCGAAAUCCGAUAACUGUGGCUGAAAAUCAUCAGAGAGGAGAAUGUUAGAGGACUUCACAUCUCUGUGAAUAAUUGAGCGAGAACAUCCAUUGUGCAGGUAAUUUAGAGCCUCAGCAACUGCAAUGGCCACUUUGAACCUCACUUUCCAGGGCAAUAUAGACUUCUCAUUGUAACCUUUUAAUCUUCUCUCUAAGCUUCCUUUGGACAGGAAAUCAUAUACCAAAAUUAGAUGAUCAUCUUCAAUGCAUACACCUAUCAGAUGUAUAAUGUGCUUGUGCUUUAAUGAAGACAUAAUGUCUACUUCCAAGGAGAAGUCAUUCCAAGCUUCCUUGUACUGUUUUAGAAUCUUUACCGCCACUAGCUUGCCUCUACGAAGGCUUCCUUUAUAUACAUUGCUGCAUCCUCCUUCUCCAAUCAAGUUUUCUGAGGAAAAUUUAUGAGUUACUCUCUCAAGCUCCUCAUAGCUGAACUGCUUGCAGCCAGAUGAAUUCAGUCUGAGGACAAGCUCCUGCUUCAUUGGCAGCACUCUUUGUCUUGCUAAACCUUCCACUUCUUUGAAAGGCAAAUUAAUUUGGGAUUUAGGGGUAGCUUGUGUUGAUUGAUUAGGUAUACUCAUCUCAGAUUCUGCCAAAGAGUCUAUAGUUGUAGAAGUCUUUAUGCGAAGGAGUGGCCAACCAAGUGUAAACUGUGUCGAUUCUCCUGUAAAUUCAGAAAAUGAACUCGAAGGGAUUUCCUGCGUAAGACCAGACUGCUCAUCUUCUCUAAUGCUGCUUCCAUCAACUGAUCUAUUUUCAGAGGAACUAACCACUUGGACACUAGUUCCCUCAUUAUUUACAUUGGAAUCUUCUGUUUUCCCAUCCAAGUAUAUGUUGGCUUCAACAGAAUGUGAAUCAUUUUGGUUUUCCAUUAUCAUUUCAAAGGAUCGAGUAGGUAGAUUCAUGACCCAUUCUAUCAGGGACAUGCUUCUUGCUUUUGAUCUUCUCAAUGCUUCUUUAGUUCUUGGAAGAAGGGGCCAACCAAGAGUUGAUUCUGGCAGCUCUCUUCUGAUUACAGAAAUCGAUUUCAGAGGAACUUUCUCCUUGCAUCCAUUUCCAUCUUUUAAGCUAGCACUAUCAUUUCUUGAAAAUUCUUCAGAGCUAUGAAUUUCACAGGAUUUGAUUUCACUGAAGGCAGGGUCUCCGCCUUCUCUUGAACUAGUAUGGUUUUCAUCAAGAUCAAAAUUAGGCCCCGAAUUCAACUUGAAGCCUCCAAUCUGGCUAAGCAAACUCCUCGUAAGGACCAUCUUCCCAUCAUGGACUGACUGAAGCAUGAUCAUUUCUGGCAAUUGACCAGCAACACAUCUAGACAGCGAAAGCUGUUUCCACGAAGAGUUCUCCAGGUUUGUUUCCACAGCUACUGCCAUGGCUGCACGAUGCUUCUUCACUCUCCUCAGAACCUUCUGAGCAGCACUUGAUUGUGAAAUUGAACCAUCCUUUUUCACUAAUCUUUUGCAGCAACAUUCUAAAUGACCUCUUGUCAUUAAACUGCCUUGAAAAUCAUGAUAUUGAUCUGUAUCUGAAAGAAGAUGAGCCAAGUUGAACAUGUGGUCUAGCUCGGAGACUUGCACAGCAAGCUCAGAGUCAAGACAUUCUGAAGAAUGAGUACCCAUUAGAAUACCAUGAAAGGCCUGCUUCCUUUUCCUCCACUUCUUUAAUGGAAUUCCCUUUCUGAUCAUUGUUUCUCCUGGCAUAAAACUCUCCAUCUCCAAUCUCUCUUUAAGCUUCAUAUAAAACUGCUAGUUUCAUAAUUCCAGAACAUGUGGGCUGCUGUGGCCAUUGAAUAUUAAUACCAAAAACAACAACCAACUGAGAUUUACAGUAAGAGACAAGCUAAAUAAAUAAACAAAUCCAUUGAACAGAUGGUAAAAAAGAAUAGAUAGAUAGGCGGACACGGAGAUUGGCUACAGGCUAUUUUUGAACAUUUGACCCAUUUAUAUUCUUGUUUUCAUCUAAUCCUACCAAACAUCUCCUAGAAAAUGGCCUGAAACGCCUGACAGUGCAAGCAGAUUCGGCACACCUAUUAAGACUAGUGGAG